CUGCUCUGUUUACUUGGACGUACCCAAAUUUAUUCUUAUUCUCACCUACAAAACCUCUACCUAACUCCCACUGGUUUUGAGUAUUGUACGCCGCAAAAGUUGUGUAGUGGCACGACAGUGAACCUGUCAAUGCAUACUUUUUUUUGUUCUAUAAAAAGAAGGAGAAGAAAGCUGCCACGUCAGUGACCACUAGGGAGCGGGCCCCACCUAGCACAGCACAGGCACCCCCUCGGCCCCUUGGAUCGCCUAUAAAUCGAGGCUUCCUACACUUGUUCCCUCCCUUUUCCCUCUCUCACCACUCGAGCCCCUCUGAUACGCUGCUAAUUACCAUUCUGCCCCUGGCCAAUCAAUGGCAGGCACUCUGCUGCAGCUAGCAAUGGCCCCCCAGCUUCCCCCGCUCUCUGAUCCCGCCCUCGAGGCCUUCCUCGCUGACAUCGGCUUCGGCCUGGGGCCCGACCCCACGCCCCUAGACCUCACGACGACGACGACGAUGGCAGCCACGCCGCCGGAGGAGGAGACGUCGGCGUCUGCGUCGGCCGCCGCGGCCGGCGAGGCGGAGCGCCGCCUCCGUCGCAAGAUCUCGAACCGGGAGUCGGCACGGCGGUCCCGCGCGCGCAAGCAGCGGCACCUGGAGGAGCUCCGCGCGCGCGCCGCCAGGCUCCGCGCGGGCAACCGCGAGCUCGCCGCGCGCCUCCGCGGCGUCCAGGGCCGCGCCGCGCUGGUCCGGCUCACCAACGCCCGGCUGCGCGCCGAGGCCGGCGCCCUGGGCCGCCGCCUCGCGGCCGCGCGGCGCGCCAUCGCGCUGCGGCAGAUGUACGCCGCGGCCUCCGCCGCCGGCACCAGCGGCGGCUUCGAGCUGCAGGCGCUCGCCUCGCUGAUCGUGUAGCAUGCAUGACUGGACCUGCACGCACGUAGAAUGAAAUUAAACGUGCGGAUCUUUUUGACUGGAUUGAUCACCUGGAACGAAAGGCUCAAGCUGAGAAUUUCCGCGGUCAUUGCGAUUGAUCUCUGACAUCGUCAGCCGGUGGAAAUGGAAUUGCAUAUAUGCUGCUUGCAUUAUUGUCGGGCAGCAGGCGUAUUUUUCUUGAUUUUUCAUGGAGUGUAUAUAUAUAUAUAUAUAUGAAAAAUUCAUUCUAUACGUGUUUAUAGCUAAUUUCACAUAUGUAUCUCACAAUACAGGGCAUAUCUGACGCAACGCAACGAAAGGUAUGUACAAGGUGAUAAGAAUUCCCUGCUGGGCGUUCGACCGUGUCGUCGUCAAGGUCGAACAGCGACGACACCCAAGCAAGGCCAUGGCGGCCGGCUUUGUUAUUUCCAAUUCCUAGUCAAGCAAGUGUGCGGUGGGGCUGCAGGUGGCUCGUCGCCGUCGCCACGUUGAAAGCAAAGCACAAGCAUAUAUAAAAUUAAGAAGCAGCAGCUAGCUAGCUCGCGAUGUGUUCUACGUCUCCUAAUUGUGGCUCUUGCGUUCGCUAACGGCGUACUCAUGUAACAGUAACACUAUGGAUCGUAGUACUGUGUCGACGGCAGACAAGUACUGCUGCCGCCUGACGAUCGACACCUUGCUUGCCAGGUACUAGCUGCAGCUUUUCUGCAAAGCUAGGGUGCUCGUCCUUCCUUUUCCUUCAUCGUCCACCUGCUUUGAUUCCUUAAACGCCGCCCGUGAAAACGACUGCAUGUAUGUGCGAGCUAGCUACCCUGACAUGGGUGGCCCGCGUUAUGCAUAUUGAUGGCAUAAAAGCAGCAGAUGUUGAGA
This is an RNA transcript of Panicum hallii, 1753 nucleotides long. It is a transcript of the gene named ocs element-binding factor 1-like, with no coding region annotated. The transcript is spliced from 2 exons. The record is from RefSeq and is a predicted model, not a curated record. Lineage: Eukaryota; Viridiplantae; Streptophyta; Magnoliopsida; Poales; Poaceae.